RNAcentral lists this ribosomal RNA (397 nucleotides) under Pseudochattonella sp. RNAcentral's name for it is "partial small subunit ribosomal RNA". It matches the Rfam family "Eukaryotic small subunit ribosomal RNA", at positions 582 to 975 of the family's 1831-position model. The record is from RNAcentral. Lineage: Eukaryota; Dictyochophyceae; Florenciellales.
AUUCCAGCUCCAAUAGCGUAUAUUAAAGUUGUUGCAGUUAAAAAGCUCGUAGUUGGAUUUCUGGCGUCGCCGCCCGGUCGGCCUCGAAAGGGGUUCGCACUCGUUGGCGCGCGUCGCCAUCCUCGGGGGAAGGCCGCCUGGCAUUAAGUUGUCGGGCGGUCGACGCUCGUCGUUUACUGUGAACAAAUUAGAGUGUUCAAAGCAGGCUUAGGCCGUUGAAUACAUUAGCAUGGAAUAAUGAGAUAGGACUUUGGUGGUCUAUUUUGUUGGUUUGCACGCCGAAGUAAUGAUUAAUAGGGGCGGUUGGGGGUAUUCGUAUUCAAUUGUCAGAGGUGAAAUUCUUGGAUUUAUGGAAGACGAACUACUGCGAAAGCAUUUACCAGGGAUGUUUUCAUCG